Molecule: small nucleolar RNA, 122 nt
Filed under: Sus scrofa (pig)
Lineage: Eukaryota; Metazoa; Chordata; Mammalia; Artiodactyla; Suidae
Description: Small nucleolar RNA SNORA31 (ENSSSCG00070019395.1)
Source: RNAcentral
UUGUAUCUAUUAUAGACCUGGAUCAGUCUGUUGCUAAGGUUUCUACUACAGAUGCAAGAGAAAAGUGUUCUGGUACUUCCUGUUUAAUUGUGCCAGCCAAGAUUAAAUGGAGGAAUACAGGG